AGUUGUUGUGGUUAAAAAGCUCGUAGUUGGAUCUCAACAACCUUGGAGCGGUCGCCUAAGCGGUGUACUGCUUCUUAGGUUGUGCUUUUGCUGGAGGUUUAGAGGUGCUCUUGAUCGGGUGUCUCUGGAUGCCAGCAGGUUUACUUUGAAAAAAUUAGAGUGCUCAAAGCAGGCUAUUCCGCCUGUAUAUCGGUGCAUGGAAUAAUAGAAUAGGAUGUCGAUCCUAUUUUGUUGGUUUUCGGGACUCGACAUAAUGAUUAAUAGGGACAGUCGGGGGCAUUUGUAUUCAAACGACAGAGGUGAAAUUCUUGGACCGUUUGAAGACAAACUACUGCGAAAGCAUUUGCCAAGAAUGUUUUCAUUAAUCAAGAACGAAAGUUAGAGGUUCGAAGGCGAUUAGAUACCGCCCUAGUUCUAACCAUAAACGAUGCCAGCUAGCGAUCUGCCGGUGUUUUUACUGUAGACCCGGCAGGAAGCUUCCGGGAAACCAAAGCAUUUGGGUUCCAGGGGAAGUAUGGUUGCAAAGCUGAAACUUAAAGGAAUUGACGGAAGGGCACCACCAGGAGUGGAGCCUGUGGCUUAAUUUGACUCAACACGGGAUAACUCACCAGGCCCGGACACUGGAAGGAUUGAC
RNAcentral lists this ribosomal RNA (634 nucleotides) under uncultured marine eukaryote. RNAcentral's name for it is "SSU rRNA". It matches the Rfam family "Eukaryotic small subunit ribosomal RNA", at positions 608 to 1244 of the family's 1831-position model. The record is from RNAcentral.